AACAACAUUAAUUAAGGUUUUAUUGUCAUUUUUCGGUAAUAUAUAGUAGCAGGUACUUUGUAAAUAUUACAUUUGAUAAAGACACGGUGUUCUCGAAACAAUUGUGAUGUAAAAAUAUAUAAUUUCGUGAAAAUCUGAACUUUUAGUUCUUAUUUAUUUUGAUAAAUGGAUUUUCAUCAAGUAAAAGCCACCUCAGUUCAAUCCCUCGUCAAGUUUCAUUUAUUACGCCACAAUAACGAAUAAAAUUGGUUAUUUUGUUGCACGUGGAUCGAUAUUUCGAAUUAUUUUGUUGUUUUAUUCUUCGUUAACUCACUUUGGCUCCGUAUAUGUAAACCGAUAAUGCGAAAAACUUGUAUUAAAUGGAAAUAUGUAAUUAUCGCGUACGGCCAUUGUAGUUUUAACACUUUAAGCGGCCCGAGCGUUUCAAAUCGACCAGUCAAUUUUUAAUUUAUUUGUUCGCGUUAUUUUUAAAAAGGUGCUACGCCGGGCGCAUAAAAUAAGCGCACAUUUUUAAUUUUUAAGCCGGUAGAGAAAUGUCAAGGACGAGAAAGAGCAACAAUACUUCGGGCGUCAUUUAUUGGCUAUAAUUAAAAUUACUUCCAAGUUAUUAAGCGAUAUUUAGCAUAUAAGCACUUAAGACUCCUAUACUGAAGCAGAAGCAAACUUUCGAGCGUCACCAUGAAUAUGUAUAUGUUUGCUGGGGUCUGGAAACAAAUGCUAGCCUUUUCUAAAGCUCUAUUGUUUUAAAAAUUAUGAAGUUUAGAUAGAUAGAUAUAGAUAUAGUGAGCCUCUUUCUUUUUAAACCUUUCUGUUUUAGUCCUCUAUUGUUAAAAAGUGUGUCAGAAACAAUCGAGGUUCGAAGCAGGUUCAAGUUUCCAAAUAUUCUUUGGUUCUCUUCGCUAAACCGAUGAAAGGAAAAGACGACAGCUAUAUAAGGCAUAUGGACGUUCAAAAAAUAUAAAUCCGUUAACCAUAUAUUUCUUUAGCUUUCCUUACGAUAUUUUCUAUUAGAAUACUGGUUUUCAAAUAUGCGAGGUAUCAAAGUUGUGUAUUUGGAAUACGGAAGUGUAUUUUGGAAUAUUUUUAUGCAUCGCAUAUCGCUAUCGCACUCUGACAGUUUUUUAUGAAAGUUAAUUAAAGGAAACAACAAAAGUGUAUAUGUUUUACAAUUUUUGUUUUAUUUAAUUAAAAAAUACUACGCACUUCCUUGGCAAGAACGUGACAUGAUUAAUAAUUUGUCAAAAGUUUUUAAGGAAUAGUAGAGAUGUAAGAAACGACCCUUAGCAGCUUUCUAUAUCACAACAGUAUGGCUUCUCUUCGAAAAAGGUCAUAUGAAGUUAAAUACUAUCUGCGUAAUACAACUUCGUGACUAUUUAUAAUAACGAUAGUUUAGUUCUUUACCAUUUAAAAUGAAUUUCGUGCAACCUUUGGGCUUCUAAUGGCCAAAUUGUUUCUCACUCAGCUUAAUUGGUUAAAUUUAUCUGAUAUUGUGCAAACAAAAAUAAUUUUCCUUUUGUGUCCGUAUCCCCAAAUAAAUUAAUCCUAAUUGGCAUGCAAAUUAAGGCAAUUCAAUUUAGUUAAAUUUCUCCGCGGUAAUUAAUAAAAACUCUUGCGAAACGAUGCUUAAAUGCAUUUAACAACUGGCACCAAAAACGAAAUCGAGCUUAAGACUCGUAAAACUGACUAUAAUUUUUACUCCGUUAGUUCUUUUCUACGGCAGUAACCUUUGCGACGGCGAAUGUCAAGGAUAUUUUUACAACCGUUCUUUCUAGGCGCAAUUACAUGCAAACUGUAACCAGAUCCGUAUCUUUUAACUUAUACACCCGUGCGCUAGCGAACUCUUCGUCCAACAAUAAGAGAUGAAAAGCCGGAAGAAGCAGCCAGCGUGAAAUUCUCCUGUACGGACACAAAUUUCUUGGGAAUACGCUCUGCUGCAUGAAGUAUAUCGUUCGUAAAACACAGAAUACUAUAAGACAGGUGAGUGGCUAGCACCGGUAAAGUUCUUAAAUUGUCAAAUAAGAAGAAAUCCAGAGAAUUGAAAUUUUAAUUAAUAUUGGAUAUGGAGGCACAACGACAACUCAGGAAGACUUUUGUAAUUUGUUUAAUUUUGCGUGUAUUACAAGAAGAAAAGUAUCACCCGUACAAGAUUAUAUUACUACCGGAGCUGAACGAAGACGAUCCCGAGCGCAGAAUAUAGUUUUGUGAAGCUAUGAUGGAAAUGUGCAACUUAAAUCCAUUUUUUCUUCAUCAUCAGAUUCUGGUCUUGUAAAAACAUCAGAGGGCAUGGAAGCUGCUAUAGGGAGGACAGUAAAGUUAAGUGGCAUUGCAAGGACAACCUUGCAUCGAUUCCUUGAUAAUGAUUUACUAGGAUGGAAAGAACGAUGUGACAUAGGCAUAAUAAAAGUGUUUAAGAAUGGUGAUGCAGAGUGGAUUCGCAGAGAAGUGUUUACGAUGUAUUAGAGUAAUCAGAGUCCGUAACCUGAAUAAUUGCAACAUAAAUGAAAAAAAAUUGUCGAUUUUUUGCCAAUCGUGAAAUAUUAAGUCGAUUUCUGGAGAAAAUCGAAUUUAAAUUUAAAAAUAUUGACAAGCGUAGUUGUAUUCCAGACGCCCAUGACACUAUAAAGAAAGGGUGGCAAAAUGCAAAAUUCUUUAUCAAACUGCAUUUUCAAUGUAUCUAAAGGAAAAAGAAUUCAUUAGUCCGUAUGACCUUUUUUAUGAAGAUAUUUAUACAAAAAAACAACUAGUUUUAGUUUUAAAAAUCCAAUCGCAUGAUAACACUUAUUGCGUAGACAGGAUCAUAAAAAAUCCGGUAAUAGAAAUAAUAAUUUGAUUUAGUAUAAAUUUAUUAUUAUACAGUACGAAAUACA
Molecule: long non-coding RNA, 2867 nt
Organism: Cylas formicarius (sweet potato weevil)
Lineage: Eukaryota; Metazoa; Arthropoda; Insecta; Coleoptera; Brentidae
Exons: 3
Source: RefSeq, a predicted model, not a curated record